Molecule: long non-coding RNA, 575 nt
Organism: Sinocyclocheilus grahami
Lineage: Eukaryota; Metazoa; Chordata; Actinopteri; Cypriniformes; Cyprinidae
Exons: 3
Source: RefSeq, a predicted model, not a curated record
CACAGGAGCCUCAGAUAAAAGAGACGGAGAGAAAGAGGAUGAUGAAGAAGAGACCCGAAGCAGAGCGACGACCCGCGCCGCGUCUCGUCUGGAGGCAGAGAAGAAUAAACCCAGCAAACCGUCCACUCGAGCUGUCAGUAAACUCAGCGGGAAAGAGGAAAACUCCCCGAACACACGAUCGGUGAGGGGAUGCAAGCGUGACUCCAGUCCUGCUCUUCCUCGCACACGUGGAGCACAGAAAUCUGACGAACCACCUUCAAAACGAGCCAAACGAUGAUGAGUCUCCGCUUUAUCUCCUCGAGUUCACCGUUAGUAGUGGUUUAAAGGUCAGAGAGUGUUGGGAAAUUAAUCCGAAUCAGAGCAGCUGAUAAUCAACAUGAUUCAAUUCUGCAGACGAAUGAAGAGAUGAAGAGACUGAUGAUGAAGAGCUGCUGUGUGUAAAUAACUCAAUAAUAAUAUUCAAUUCAUCAGUGCAGUGUUGACUGUGAGAAACUGCAGGUUUUACACCACUCUGUGUGUGCGUGCGUGCGUGUGUGUGAGAGUGUUGUGUGUGAGUGAGUGUCUGUGUGUGUGUG